Molecule: ribosomal RNA, 253 nt
Filed under: uncultured bacterium
Lineage: Bacteria
Description: partial 16S ribosomal RNA
Rfam family: Bacterial small subunit ribosomal RNA
Source: RNAcentral
UACAGAGGUGGCGAACGUUGUUCGGAUUUACUGGGCGUAAAGGGUCCGCAGGCGGUUCGGUGUGUCGGAUGUGAAAGCUCACAGCUCAACUGUGGAAUUGCAUUCGAAACUGCCGAACUAGAGUACUGGAGGGGAGAAGGGAACACUUGGUGUAGCGGUGAAAUGCGUAGAUAUCAAGUGGAACACCGGAGGCGAAGGCGCUUCUCUGGACAGAUACUGACGCUCAUGGACGAAAGCUAGGGUAGCGAAAGGG